UACAUAGGGCGCAAGCGUUGUCCGGAAUUAUUGGGCGUAAAGAGCUCGUAGGCGGUUUGUCGCGUCUGCUGUGAAAACUCGAGGCUCAACCUCGGGCUUGCAGUGGGUACGGGCAGACUAGAGUGCGGUAGGGGGUGACUGGAAUUCCUGGUGUAGCGGUGGAAUGCGCAGAUAUCAGGAGGAACACCGAUGGCGAAGGCAGGUCACUGGGCCGCAACUGACGCUGGAGGAG
RNAcentral lists this ribosomal RNA (232 nucleotides) under uncultured bacterium. RNAcentral's name for it is "partial 16S ribosomal RNA". It matches the Rfam family "Bacterial small subunit ribosomal RNA", at positions 524 to 753 of the family's 1533-position model. The record is from RNAcentral.